AGUGAACGCUGGCGGUAGGCCUAACACAUGCAAGUCGAACGGCAGCACAGUAAGAGCUUGCUCUUACGGGUGGCGAGUGGCGGACGGGUGAGGAAUACAUCGGAAUCUACUUUUUCGUGGGGGAUAACGUAGGGAAACUUACUCUAAUACCGCAUACGACCUACGGUUGAAAGCAGUGGAUCUUCGGACCUUGCGCGAUUGAAUGAGCCGAUGUCGGAUUAGCUAGUUGGCGGGGUAAAGGCCCACCAAGGCGACGAUCCGUAGCUGGUCUGAGAGGAUGAUCAGCCACACUGGAACUGAGACACGGUCCAGACUCCUACGGGAGGCAGCAGUGGGGAAUAUUGGACAAUGGGCGCAAGCCUGAUCCAGCCAUACCGCGUGGGUGAAGAAGGCCUUCGGGUUGUAAGGCCCUUUUGUUGGGAAAGAAAAGCAGCAGGUUAAUACCCCGCUGUUCUGACGGUACCCAAAGAAUAAGCACCGGCUAACUUCGU
This 491-nucleotide ribosomal RNA is filed under the name uncultured bacterium. RNAcentral's name for it is "partial 16S ribosomal RNA". It matches the Rfam family "Bacterial small subunit ribosomal RNA", at positions 29 to 506 of the family's 1533-position model. The record is from RNAcentral.